Molecule: long non-coding RNA, 1380 nt
Organism: Drosophila gunungcola (fruit fly)
Lineage: Eukaryota; Metazoa; Arthropoda; Insecta; Diptera; Drosophilidae
Exons: 4
Source: RefSeq, a predicted model, not a curated record
CUCGCGAUUCAAAUCGAAUUUGGACUUCGCUGCGUUCGGCGGCAAAAAAUACAACGGGAAAGGAAAUUCGGAACUCGGCUUUUUCGGCCUUUCGGCGCGCGCGUGUGUGUGUGUUAUGUUAUUGUUGCUGCUGCUGUGCGUCGGUGUUCGUGUGUGUGAGCGAGGCGAGGGAGAAAUUGUUAAAUAAACCGGUUCCUUUUUCCGCUUCUGCAAUUGCCUUUUUGUAAUUCGUAAUUCGUAAUACCCAAAAUCGAAAUCGAGCACCGAAUUUGUUUCGCCUGCGCUUUUUUUUAUUUUCUUUUCGUUUGGCUCCUGGAUUUUCGGUGCGAAAAUAUAAAUUACAACAACAUCAAAAUCGAAAAUAAAAAGGCAUAAACAUAAGUUCCAAAAUCUUACCAAUUUUUUUUUACUGUGCCCCCCAAAACGAAUACAAAAAUUUCAACGAAUCAGUGAGUGAGCCAAAUCAAGGAGAUUGAGCUGAGAAUUAAAAGCCAGUGCCAAAAAGUGAUUGAAAAGUACGAAGGAAUUCGAGAAACAAAACAAAAGUGGCAAAUUUACCGAAAAAUUUAGUCUGUGAACAAAAAAAAAAUAAGGAAGAAAGGUGAGCGAAAGAAGAGGACAAAAAGAAUACGCAUAACUUUGGGAACUUUGGCGCAUCUGUUGGAUGCAGGGCACAGAGUCCAGCGUUCUUGAGACCAGGUGGAAAAACAAAGGUUGGAGCAGCAGGCCGGAGUAAUUGAACGGCAACAUAGGCGGGCAGCAGGCAAGAACAACAACUGGAGAGCGUAAAACAUAAACAGACAGUUUAUAAAGCUCCCACGUUUCAAGGAGUUUGACUUGUUAAAGAAACCCGCGCAAUUAUUGCUACAAGUGGACUUGGAAUAAAGGUUCAAAAGGUGGAGCGAAAAGCGUAACUGGAAAGUUUCUUUAAAAAUUUGGGUAAGUGGAAAACCAUUUCGAGGAAAAGGGCGAGAGAAGUCUUAUUUCGGGUGAAAUAUUUUAUCCAGCAGAACCUUUACCUUCACUGAUACUAAACUUAUUGGAAUUUCGAAAAUGAUAGCGUUGGCAUGAAAGUUUCUUUGUCUCCCCCCGCCCAUGUCAUCACCCAGAUUUUUAUUUUACUUUUAUUGUGUUUUAUGUCGCAACAAACACACAAAAAAGUCAACCCAAAAAAAAAAAAAAUCGGCUUAACGCACUAAACAGAGAGGGAAAUUUGAAGAGCAACAAUCCGAAAGAUGCGUAUCUUGUUGUGGUCCCCCAAAUAAUCCCCCCUUCCCGCCAUUUCGUCCAGUGUGUGCGUGUGUUUAACUGUCUCUUCAUCAGCAUCUUCAGCUCAAUAUAUCUGAUAUGCAUCUCAUCGUCUGCCAGUGUGUGUGUGUG